Molecule: unclassified non-coding RNA, 395 nt
Filed under: soil metagenome
Description: partial contains 5.8S ribosomal RNA, internal transcribed spacer 2, and large subunit ribosomal RNA
Rfam family: 5.8S ribosomal RNA (bases 1-120)
Source: RNAcentral
GAUGAAGAACGCAGCGAAAUGCGAUAAGUAAUGUGAAUUGCAGAAUUCAGUGAAUCAUCGAAUCUUUGAACGCACCUUGCGCCUUUUGGUAUUCCGAAAGGCACACCUGUUUGAGCGUCAUGAAUACCUCAAUCUCCAUCUUUUCUUCGGAUUGAUGGGUGACUUGGAUGUUGAGCCCUGCUGGUAUGCUAUAUCAGCUGGCUUUAAACUUGUUAGCCGGCUCUGUACUGGAUCGGUUUGACUCGACGUGAUAAUAUUAUCGUUGAGGAUGCAUGUCUCAUGCAGCCGGAAAGUAUCAAAGCAGCUUCUAGCUUGCCUUUAGUGCACUUUUACAUUUUAGACCUCAGAUCAGGUGGGACUACCCGCUGAACUUAAGCAUAUCAAUAAGCGGAGGA